UCAUAACUUUUUGUCUUUUUUCUUUGAGUUUCUCUUUUCUGCAUUACCUUCCUUUUUUGUAUUUUUUUUUAGACAGAGUCUCACUUAGUCACCCAGGCUAGAGUGUAGUAGUGCAAUCUUAACUCACUGCAGCCUCUGCCUCCCAAGUUCAAGUGAUUCUCAUGCCUCAGCCUCCCAAGUAGCUGGAAUUCUAGGCAUGCACCACCACCCUGACUGAUUUUUGUAUUUUUAGUAGAGAUGGGGUUUCACCAUGUUAGCCAGGCUGGUCCCGAACUCCUGGCCUCAAGUGAUCUGCCUACCUCAGCCUCCCACAGUGUUGGGAUUACAGGCAUGAGCCACCACACCCAGCCCCAUUGCCUUCCUUUCUUCCCUUCACUUACCUGAGUCCUUCCAGAUCCAAAUUCACUUCUGCUUUUCCACAAAUUCCUCUCAGAGAAUGCCUGCUAUCAAUGAGCUGCUUCUGUGGCUACCUAUGCCUUGGUCUUCAGGACUAACAGACCACACUUCCCUAUGCUCUGAAGGAUGGUCAGUGUUUAAGCUCCUCCUCCCCGCUGGACGGCUCAUCUCUUGGUGUCUCUACCUCCCCACAGUGCCUCACACAAGGGCCCAGAUGACUGUCCCUGACCGGGGCUUAUGGUUGCCUGAAGGCUCGAUUUCAAACCAAGGUCUCUGCUCACCUUGGAGCCUUCAAUGUCUCUGGCUGGGAGGAGAGGUGCUGACCAAGCAGCUGUUCAUCAUAACAAGGUGAUGAGACCUUGGCGACAUGUGAACUACUCAUUGACUAACAAGACGAUUAGAAAUUGGUAAGUUGUUACUUUUGAUUGCUCUUUUUUUUCCCUAGAGGAUAGUUUUUUGACUAAGGAUGAUUUUGUACCUUUGUUAUGGGCCGUUAUCCAAUGAAUGCUGCUCAUAUUCCAUGCAAGUAUUCCGGAAUCCAUAUCUCACACUUCACCCCAGGGGGCAGCCCUGACAAAUAUAUUUACGCCCUGACAUCUCUGAUCAAGGCCAAACAUCUUAAUUAAGCAAAAAGAUAAUUAGGAGAAAAUGUACACCAAGGCAUCGCCAACAAAUUGGUGAAUUCUCCAAAGCUGUGGACAUUAGGCAGCUACUGUCUGAAGUUUAACGCAAGUAGUCAUAGAUGUAGGUCCAUCCUCCACAUACAUUUGCUCAAUAUUAACUGUAUCCAGUACUGUGCUAGGCUCUACAGGAGAGUAGGGGAAAAAAAGGAAGUAUUGUCCCUGACCUUAAAAUUUGCUAAUGUAACUUCCUUUUGUUAAAGAAGAGUCUAAAAAAUAACCAUUUAUGGUCCCGUAGAUUCCCUGACACCUACUAUGUUUUUAGUAUUUUUUUGUUUGUUUCAUAAGAGUGAUAUGGCAUCAACAAACCCUAAUUAUUGUCUCUUUUAUCCAAAUUGGUCUCAUUAAGAUUCAUAGAGUCCUUUCCAGAAUAUAUUUUAUAUAUAAUGAAACAAGGAGAAAGAAUAUGUAAAGUGUGCAAAAUUCCUGGGAGAAAUCCCCCUCUGUCCACAUUAUUCUUACUUCCUACUUGGUGUUUAUAUGGGAGAAUAAAGAAAAUUCUGUGCCCCAAAUAGGGUAAAAGAGUUGGUGGCUGGUCCUUGCCACUGGCCUAUGGCUUUUGUCCAGAGAAGACAGGAAUUGGGACCCCUAGCCCCUUCAGAACAGUUGGUCUCUCAUGCCCAGGGAAUUUGGUUAUGGAGUGAGAACAGGAUUCUCCUAAAUAUUUCAACUUCAGAAGACCCAAUUGAAAGCAAUCUUAAUUAAAGGAGGACUGAGAGUGGUGCAAAUAUGAUUUGAACAUUGGUUAACUUUUCCUCAAAUGGGAAUGAAUAGGUGGUAAAAUCACUUUGAUGACUGUUAUACAGAGUCUCUGUCCCAGAGUCCUGAAACUUCACCUAAUGUCCAUAAAGAAAUCAGAGUAACUUCUCUGCCAGUAUGUGUUGGGUUGGGGUGGGCUGGGUGGGUGGGUGAAGAGUACUUUCAAAUGUUGUAGAUCCCAGUACAUUGCUCUGCAGGGCAUGUGUUUAAAUGAUGGGUAAUUGACCCCACAUCACUCCCAUCCUCAUGCCUCAUGGUUACCGUGUGUGUGUAUUGGGGAUUCUGCAUACAUUUUCAUCACAUAUUUAAUUUUCUGGCUUUAAAUAGUAUCUUUGCCUUUGUUUUAUGCUAACAGUGUUCAUGAAUAGUGAAUGUAGGAAAGCAUCAUUCUGUGUUUUAUUUUCACACUAUAUUUCAGUAUCAGGCUAUACUUUCAAGGUAUAACAAUUGUCACUGAGGCACAAAGUUUUAAUUAAGCUCACACAUGAUUAUUUUCCAGCAAACUGAGCCUAAUUGAUGAAAUUGCUAAUUGUACUUCCAGGUGCAGUUAUCAGCCAGUAGUGCAUCAUUAGUAUGCAAUAUGGCAUGGGCUGUUUCAUGGUGUGAUACCAGAUUAUAUGUUUAUUACAAACACAUAUUGUCCUUUAAUGACAUCAUUUGUUCAUUCCAAACAUAUUUAUUGAGCACUGACUCUGUGCCAGUUAUUAGAGUAAUAAUAACUGCUGUGGCAAAUGAGUUUCCUCACCUAAGAAAAAUCAAAGUUAAUUAUUGUUUUCUCCACAUAAAAGUAUAAAAUGUUAUUCUGCAAUGUGCCUUCCACGUGGUGAUUCAGGGAUCCAGGCUCCUUCCAUCUUGUGGCUCCCCCACCCACUAAGUUCCCAGACUCUUUCAUUUCCAACUGGUCGUUGAUGAAAGAGAGGGUGAUGAAGGCAUACCCCACUUAGAUCUUAACCACUUUUACCUAGAAGUAACACAUAUCACUUUUAUUGACUGCAACACACCUGGAGAAAGGGGGCUGGGAAAUGCUGUCCCUGGCUGUGAACUUACAGUAUCAUAUCCAUUUUAUGAGACUCUUUGGGGACUAGCUGGCUAUUUCUGCCACAGCUGGCCAUGUCUGCCAUGGCUAGAUACCAUUUCAGACUCUAGGGAAAUAGCAGUGAAGAAAAACAGACAAAAACAUAUGGUCUCAUCGAGCAUAAAUUAUUGAAUUAAAAUUCUUAAAUUCUUUAUGGGAUGAGACAGACUAUAACCAGGCUAAAUCAGUAUGUUGCAAAGCAGUGAGAGCUGAAGAGAAAAACUAAAGCAGGAAAAGUGGUAGAAAGCAUGAGAGAAGGGUUUGAGAUGAGACAAUGUGGUCAUAGAAAGCCUCUUGAAAGAAAUAAUACUUUGAGCAAAGAAGCAGAGAGCAUAAGGGAUCCAACCAGGUGAAUAUCUAUAGCAAAAACAUUUCAGAUAAAGGGAAUAGCAGGUAAAAGGAAUCUGAAGCUGGUGAAGAUAAUAGGAGUGAGGAUAAUGGAAGGUGAGAUCAGAGAAGUAAUGGUCAGGCCAGACUGUGUUGGGACAUUUAGGUCAUAGUAAACAUCUUGGCUUUUUUUUUUGGGAGGGGGUAACUUUAUUGAGCUAUGAUUUUCAUAAAAUAAAAUAUAUCCAUUUGAUAGGUUUUAAAAAAUGUAGACAUGUAGACAUCCAUGUAAUCGCCACCACAAUAAAAACAUAGAACAUUUUUAUUAUCCCCUAAUAGUAUCCCUACUUAUAGUUUAUCCCUGGCCCUAAGCAAUCACUGACAUGUCUUCUGUCAUCAGUAAUUAGUCAUUUUUUUCUAGGAUUUCAGAUAAAUGGAAAGGAACAGUAUAUACUCUUCUGUGUCUGUAUUCUGUCACUCAGCAUAAUGCUUUUGAAAUUCAUUCAUGCUGUUCUCAGUAUUGCUACUUUAUUUCUAUUUAUUGCCAUUACAUGGAUUCUAUUAUGUGGAUAUACCACAAUUUAUUUAAUCUUUCAACUACUGAGAGACAUUUGAGUUGUUGAUAAUUUGGGGCUUCUAUGAAUAAAUCUGCUAUGAUCAUAAUGUGAAAUUCUUCUUUUUUGUGGACAUACGUUUUUCAUUUUUCUUGCACCUAGUUGUGGAAUCGCUGCAAACCACAAGGUAAGUAUUGGUUUAACUUUAAAAAAAGUCACUGUUUUCCACUGCGGUCACAGCUUUUUACACCUCCACCAGCAAUGUAUGUGAGUUCCAGUUGUUCCAUAUCAUCACCAACCCUUGUUGUUGGCAGUCUUUUAGAUUUAAGUCAUACCAGUGGGUGGGUAGUAAUAUAUUAUUGUAGUCUUAGUUUGCAUUAAUCUAAAUGACCCUUAAUGUGGAACAUCAUUUCCUGUGCUUUUGAUCAUUUAUACAACUUAUUUUGUUGAGUGUUCAAAUCUUUUGCUUGUUAAAAUAAUUUUUUUUUGUCCUAUUGAGUUGAAAUAAUGUUAAAAAUAUUUUCUGGACAUAAGCCCCCUGUCAUAUAUAUGCCAUCCUUGAAUAUUUUCUCCUAGUCUGUGGCUCGCCUUUUCUCUUUCCUAAUAGUAUCUUUCAAAGAGUACAUGUUCUUGAUUUUGAUGAAGUAAAAUAUAUUUAAUUUUUUGCAG
RNAcentral lists this long non-coding RNA (4460 nucleotides) under Callithrix jacchus (white-tufted-ear marmoset). RNAcentral's name for it is "lncRNA (ENSCJAG00000076746.1)". Lineage: Eukaryota; Metazoa; Chordata; Mammalia; Primates; Cebidae. The record is from RNAcentral.